AGGGGUGUAGCUCAACUGGUAGAGCAUCCGUCUCCAAAAUGGAAGGUUCUGGGUUCGAUCCCUAGCACCCCUG
This 73-nucleotide transfer RNA is filed under the name Chloroflexota bacterium. Its description in RNAcentral is "Chloroflexi bacterium (sediment metagenome) tRNA-Trp". It matches the Rfam family "tRNA". Rfam says of the family: Transfer RNA (tRNA) molecules are approximately 80 nucleotides in length. Their secondary structure includes four short double-helical elements and three loops (D, anti-codon, and T loops). The record is from RNAcentral. Lineage: Bacteria; Bacillati; Chloroflexota.